AGUGAACGCUGGCGGUAGGCCUAACACAUGCAAGUCGAACGGCAGCACAGUAAGAGCUUGCUCUUACGGGUGGCGAGUGGCGGACGGGUGAGGAAUACAUCGGAAUCUACUUUUUCGUGGGGGAUAACGUCGGGAAACUUACGCUAAUACCGCAUACGACCUACGGGUGAAAGCAGGGGAUCUUCGGACCUUGCGCGAUUGAAUGAGCCGAUGUCGGAUUAGCUAGUUGGCGGGGUAAAGGCCCACCAAGGCGACGAUCCGUAGCUGGUCUGAGAGGAUGAUCAGCCACACUGGAACUGAGACACGGUCCAGACUCCUACGAGAGGCAGCAGUGGGGAAUAUUGGACAAUGGGCGCAAGCCUGAUCCAGCCAUACCGCGGGGGUGAAGAAGGCCUUCGGGUUGUAAAGCCCUUUUGUUGGGAAAGAAAAGCAGCAGGUUAAUACCCCGCUGUUCUGACGGUACCCAAAGAAUAAGCACCGGCUAACUUCGUG
This 492-nucleotide ribosomal RNA is filed under the name uncultured bacterium. RNAcentral describes it as "partial 16S ribosomal RNA". It matches the Rfam family "Bacterial small subunit ribosomal RNA", at positions 29 to 507 of the family's 1533-position model. The record is from RNAcentral.